This 253-nucleotide ribosomal RNA is filed under the name uncultured bacterium. RNAcentral describes it as "partial 16S ribosomal RNA". It matches the Rfam family "Bacterial small subunit ribosomal RNA", at positions 524 to 776 of the family's 1533-position model. The record is from RNAcentral.
UACGGAGGAUCCAAGCGUUAUCCGGAUUCAUUGGGUUUAAAGGGUAGGUAGGUGGUCUCAUUUGUCUGGGGUGAAAGCCUCGAGCUUAACUCGAGAAGUGCCUCGGAAACGGUGAGACUAGAGUCUUGGAGAGGGUCGUGGAAUUCCCGGUGUAGCGGUGAAAUGCGUAGAUAUCUGGAGGAACACCGGUGGCGAAGGCGGCGUUCUGGACUGUUUCUGACACUGAAAAACGAAAGCCAGGGGAGCAAACGGG